This 460-nucleotide ribosomal RNA is filed under the name uncultured bacterium. RNAcentral's name for it is "partial 16S ribosomal RNA". It matches the Rfam family "Bacterial small subunit ribosomal RNA", at positions 338 to 795 of the family's 1533-position model. The record is from RNAcentral.
CCUACGGGUGGCAGCAGUGAGGAAUAUUGGUCAAUGGGCGGGAGCCUGAACCAGCCAAGUCGCGUGAGGGACGACGGUCCUAUGGAUUGUAAACCUCUUUUGUCGGGGAACAAAGGCGCCCACGGGUGGGCGGAUGAGUGUACCCGAAGAAAAAGCCCCGGCUAACUACGUGCCAGCAGCCGCGGUAAUACGUAGGGGGCAAGCGUUAUCCGGAUUUACUGGGUGUAAAGGGAGCGUAGACGGCGCGGCAAGUCUGAAGUGAAAGGCAGGGGCUUAACCCCUGAACUGCUUUGGAAACUGCCAUGCUAGAGUGCUGGAGAGGUAAGUGGAAUUCCUAGUGUAGCGGUGAAAUGCGUAGAUAUUAGGAGGAACACCAGUGGCGAAGGCGGCUUACUGGACAGUAACUGACGUUGAGGCUCGAAAGCGUGGGGAGCAAACAGGAUUAGAUACCCCUGUAGUC